This 330-nucleotide long non-coding RNA is filed under the name Manihot esculenta (cassava). RNAcentral's name for it is "long non-coding RNA (MESC_LNC010258)". The record is from RNAcentral. Lineage: Eukaryota; Viridiplantae; Streptophyta; Magnoliopsida; Malpighiales; Euphorbiaceae.
UGUCGUCCCCGCGAGACAGACUCCCUUGUGCAGCCUUCCGCACCUCAAGCAUCUUGAACUGCCUGAGCCAGAGCUCGAACCACCAAAACCCAAACUAGCCUUCAGAUUCUGCCAAAACUUCUUCUUCUUACCCCUAAGGGUUCUGCCCCACUUCACUCUUCUAGUGGUGGCUGUACUCAGAAUGGAGGGAUCAAUCCCUCCUGAACCUGAAAUCCUGGAAUCCUGAGUCUGAGCGUCCUCCUGAGAAUCUCCCAUACCUUCUUCAGGUACUCUGACUCCCAUACUGACAUCCCUUCUCUGAACAUCCGACUCUACUUCUCUCAUACUAGC